RNAcentral lists this long non-coding RNA (284 nucleotides) under Elaeis guineensis (African oil palm). RNAcentral describes it as "long non-coding RNA (EGUI_LNC007146)". The record is from RNAcentral. Lineage: Eukaryota; Viridiplantae; Streptophyta; Magnoliopsida; Arecales; Arecaceae.
UUCCUUCUUCCUUUCUCUUCUUCUCCCUUAGGCGUCCCAUAUACGCCCUAUACUUGGGAUGUGCAUCCCAAGUGUUGCACAUGCCCAAGAUGUUGGGCGGCCCUUCAUCUACUGGUUGUUGAUCUCUUGUAGCACCACAAGGCAAGGAGAAGAUAAAGAUCAAGGAGAAAGAUCAAACGUUGAUCGCGAUCCAGGCUUCGUUCAAAUUCUGCAGGUUGAAUUUUGGAGAAUUAAAAUUCAGAUCUUAGAUGACUGUUCCAGACUGAUCCCAAGUGAAUACUCAU